Molecule: long non-coding RNA, 2178 nt
Organism: Rhododendron vialii
Lineage: Eukaryota; Viridiplantae; Streptophyta; Magnoliopsida; Ericales; Ericaceae
Exons: 4
Source: RefSeq, a predicted model, not a curated record
UUGUAUUUUGUACUAGGACAUUGAAAAGAGAAAAUAAAAGGUUUAUAGUUCAUUUAGCCUACUGAGAGAAAUUAGGCUAUAGUUCAUUUUGAGAUGAACACGCCCAUACACUAAUCUGCCAUUUCACUUGAGAUCAAUAUCUACUGUAAUUUGUCUAUUGUUAAUAUCAAGUUAUUCUUAUGUUCGGAUGACAUCGGUAUGAUACAUUCCUUUACAGCUUGCGAUGAUUUCCAACAAUGACCCACUUAUAUGCAUUGACUGCCAGGUAUGUGCUUUUGAAGACCCAUUCACCUUGAGAGAGCAGGAAAUAGCAAAUAGAUGCAUGACUUUGCUGAAUUAUAACAAUAACUUGCUCUAAAUUCUACAAUUAAUGGUAUUGUGUAGGACACCUGGUUGUUUUUGCCCGCAAAAGAUAUAUCACACUGUACUUGUUAAUGGUUGGAAAUUUUGUAUAUCACAUGGGUAUCCCCAUGAACAGUGAGGUACUUGGGAAGAGCCAACGAUGAAUCUUUCAGAAGCUCAAUCAUGUUGGGUCACUCAUUAAUUAGAUGAAUCAAGCUUGGAAACAUCCGUUCGAAGUUCAUACGUUAUUGUUUCAAAGUUCAUGCACUAUUAUUUAAUGAACUCUGCUUGAACAAGUUAGGCUUAUGAAUAGCUAGAAUGGCUUUCACUUUCACAUCUUACACACUUAAGGACACUUAUGAAGCGUACAUGAAUACAAAAAUUGUGACGAUGGUUUGGGUGCUCAUGUGAACUAAUGGCAUUGCAAAAAAAAAAUAAAAUGAUGUGAGUUCAUAAAUUUUACAUGUAUUUUAUAGCCCAUUUAAUGUCUCAACUUUGAUUCCUCGUGCUAAAUUGGAAUGUUAAAUAAGUGUCAGUGUCACAAGCCAAGUGAGGCUUGUGAAGAGCAAUAGUAUUUGGAGUCAUAUGCCUCAUGAUGUUAAGGGAACUUAAGUUGGAGCCUGAUGAGCUUGAACUUGACUCGAUUUAUAAUUUUCUACUUCACUAAAGAUCUUCCAAGUGAGAGACAAUUGGAAACUCGUGAGUAGAAUACCUUGUAAUUGGACCCUUGACCAAAGUUCUCAUACAUGGUCUAAGUAAGGGACGGGACCGUGAAGCCAAUUUUUCCUCCAAAUCUUCUUUAAUUGAUAAGAUGACGUGUAUUGUAUAAAGAAAAACAUCAAACUCUUUGAUCAUAGGAUGUUUUUAUAACUUCCCUAUUGAAUUAGAUGUCUCUGACAAGAUAGCAGGCAAACAUUCUUGAAUUUUUUCCUUUAAUGGUAAAUUCAGCCAUAUCCUUUACUUUUUUAUGGACAUUCUCUACAAGCGGAGAAACUUUAAUUAUAUGUUCUGAAUGUGUAUGUUUGGAAGUAUUAUGGACCUAAUCAGUUGAUAGUUGAAGUUAUGUAGAAUUGGUUAAUAUCUUCUUGAUUGACUAUGAUGAACUUUUGAUGAAUUUGGUAGGAGGGUUCCGCCAAAUUGCUCUUAGUAUUAGUUUGGACAUUAAAAUCUUUCUGCUUUUGUAAUAUUUGUAUGAUGAAAAAAAUUGUUUUGACAGUUGGAGACAUUCAAGAGACAACUAAUGCAGUCGCAAAAUGAUGAUAAGUCUCAUCUGUAACAUUUUUUCGAUCAUGGUGGUUGAUAACUCUUACGCUGAGUUUGUUUUCUACCUUGGUCUUUUAUUGACGAUGAGUGCUACCGGUGGACAUCGCUCACACCUGAUAUUUAAUGGUGAUUUGGUCUUCCAGCAUGGAGUCCGCAUGGUAGACAAAUAAUGGAGAACUAAUGUUAAACUCUGAUGGGCGUACCGGGCAAGAAUGUUCUAUGCGUAGUAUGGCUUAUUCGAAGGAUGCCUGCAAGUGUAUGCAUCCUUCAUGUCUGAAGAGGAGGGAGCUAUUCUUGGAAGACAUGGCUCAGAAACUUGGUUUCUACCUUUGAUGAUGAAUGAAGUUGGUUGCGAUAGAGAUUUGUUCUGUAAUUUUAUGUUUUCGGAGAUUAGUUUUUUUUUUUGGGUGUGUAUCUUUUUCUAUAACAAGUCUUGUAUUGGGAAGAUAGAAAUCAAGACCUUAAUCUUUGCUUUUGAUUAAAGUGAUUGGAAUCGAGAGUUCUUUGCUUAGGCUUCCGACCUGAGUUUUGCCCUCAGACAAUAUAGUUUUCUUGUACCAUUAAUAAAUUUCU